RNAcentral lists this ribosomal RNA (400 nucleotides) under uncultured bacterium. RNAcentral describes it as "bacterial SSU rRNA". It matches the Rfam family "Bacterial small subunit ribosomal RNA", at positions 355 to 771 of the family's 1533-position model. The record is from RNAcentral.
UGAGGAAUAUUGCACAAUGGGCGCAAGCCUGAUGCAGCAACGCCGCGUGAGGGACGAAGGCCUUCGGGUCGUAAACCUCUUUUCUGGGGGACGAGUAAGGACGGUACCUCAGGAAUAAGUCUCGGCUAACUACGUGCCAGCAGCCGCGGUAAAACGUAGGAGGCGAGCGUUAUCCGGAUUUACUGGGCGUAAAGCGUACGCAGGUGGCUUCGUGAGUCGGACAUGAAAGCUCCUGGCUUAACUGGGAGAGGUUGUUCGAUACUGCGGGGCUUGAGGUUGGGAGAGGGACGUGGAAUUCCCGGUGUAGUGGUGGAAUGCGUAGAUAUCGGGAGGAACACCAGUGGCGCAAGCGGCGUCCUGGCCCACACCUGACGCUGAGGUACGAAAGCGUGGGUAGCAA